This 882-nucleotide long non-coding RNA is filed under the name Ursus maritimus (polar bear). RNAcentral describes it as "lncRNA (ENSUMAG00000025075.1)". The record is from RNAcentral. Lineage: Eukaryota; Metazoa; Chordata; Mammalia; Carnivora; Ursidae.
CCCUGGAUCCAUACCACCUGAAUCUAGUGACCUUAACCGCCUGGGUCUCCUUGUUACUCCAGUAGACAUGGCUCGGCACAGCCGAUGUCUCCUUGAUGGCAAAUCUUCCAUGCAUCACCAGGAUUAGCCAAGACCUGGCUGGCAGAACCGAACACUCUCAGAAGGGUGGUUUUCUGCCCUUUGCUACAUGACGGGGCUCAUCAUUGCCCUGCGGGGAAGUCGUAUGGUUGCUGGGCUCGCUUCCCUAACCCCAGACGCUUCCAAGCAGGCCUCGAGGAUGCAAGCCUCUUAUGCUUUUGGUUUCCGUUGGAGCCACUGUCUGACACGGCCGGGGAGUGCCUGGGAAAAUGAUGCAGCCCUCCUGCCCCACCGUCCUCCCGGAAAGUGGGGCAUUCGUGCUGGGUGGCUCUGGGAAGUUUGCCGUCCUGCUGAUGCAGAGAGAGAAGACCCCGGACACCACUGGGUGAUUUCCAGGGGCUACAGAGGCCUGGUGCCCGAAAGCAGCUCUCCUGGAUGGCUGGUCACUGCAGAGAAGCAGAACCCCCUGCAGCGAGCCCCCACCCUGAGCAGGGCACGGGUGGGGGAGGGGACGGUCCCUUCAGCAUCUUUACAAAGGAAGGCCUGGGCAGGAGUCAAGUUGGACGGGACAGAGAUGCUGAGAGGUCAAGAUGGUCUGAUACUAUCUCAGAUGUGGGGGGCAGGUGUGCAGAUGGCGAUGAAGAAGGUCCCUGGUGGUCGGGGACUGAGCCACCCCUCAGGUCUAACCCAUGGAGCCACAUGGGAAUGCAACCCGGGGCUGAAAAGAAUAUCUGAUCUUUCCACAGAAACUGGAAACCCUGAUUUUAUGUGGCGUCUCCCCAUUUUCAAUAAAACAUUCACGAC